UCGGGUGUGGUGCAUGGUGCAUCGCUGCUAUUAUUAUUUCGAUGGGCGAAAAAGAAAACAUUGAGCAGCUGGACGGGGUUCGACUCCCCGCACUCGAA
Non-coding RNA from Mycena crocata, 98 nucleotides. The record is from the annotation of a GenBank genome assembly. Lineage: Eukaryota; Fungi; Basidiomycota; Agaricomycetes; Agaricales; Mycenaceae.